UGGUUCUGGCAUNGAUGAAGAACGCAGCGAAAUGCGAUAAGUAAUGUGAAUUGCAGAAUUCAACGAAUCAUCGAAUCUUUGAACGCACAUUGCGCCCAUUGGUAUUCCGAUGGGCAUGCCUGUUCGAGCGUCAUUUCAACCCUCAAGCCCUGUAGCUUGGUGCUGGAGCUUCUAUAGUCUAAGGCUAUAGGCUCUGAAAGAACUUGGCGGGAUUUUUAUAGACCCGAACGUAGUAAUACUUUUCGUUUAGGGAGUUAUAAAAGUCUUUAGCCGUUAAACCCCCAACUUUUACAAGGUUGACCUCGGAUCAGGUAGGAAUACCCGCUGA
RNAcentral lists this unclassified non-coding RNA (328 nucleotides) under uncultured fungus. RNAcentral describes it as "partial contains 5.8S ribosomal RNA and internal transcribed spacer 2". The stretch from base 1 to 133 matches the Rfam family "5.8S ribosomal RNA", at positions 22 to 154 of the family's 154-position model. The record is from RNAcentral. Lineage: Eukaryota; Fungi.